GCUAAUACUCUGUGUGGAUGACGGUACCGGCAUAAGAAGCACCGGCUAACUACGUGCCAGCAGCCGCGGUAAUACGUAGGGUGCGAGCGUUAAUCGGAAUUACUGGGCGUAAAGCGUGCGCAGGCGGUUGGGUAAGUUUGAUGUGAAAUCCCCGGGCUCAACCUGGGAACUGCAUUGAAGACUGCCUGACUAGAGUACGGCAGAGGGGGGUGGAAUUCCACGUGUAGCAGUGAAAUGCGUAGAGAUGUGGAGGAACACCGAUGGCGAAGGCAGCCCCCUGGGUCGAUACUGACGCUCAUGCACGAAAGCGUGGGGAGCAAACAGGAUUAGAUACCCUGGUAGUCCACGCCCUAAACGAUGUCAACUAGUUGUUGGUAGGGUUAAACCUAUUAGUAACGUAGCUAACGCGU
This 410-nucleotide ribosomal RNA is filed under the name uncultured beta proteobacterium. RNAcentral's name for it is "bacterial SSU rRNA". It matches the Rfam family "Bacterial small subunit ribosomal RNA", at positions 454 to 860 of the family's 1533-position model. Lineage: Bacteria; Pseudomonadati; Pseudomonadota; Betaproteobacteria. The record is from RNAcentral.